UACAGAGGGGGCAAGCGUUGUUCGGAAUUACUGGGCGUAAAGGGCGCGUAGGCGGCCUGCUAAGUCGAACGUGAAAUCCCCGGGCCCAACCCGGGAACUGCGUCCGAUACUGGCAGGCUUGAAUCCGGGAGAGGGAUGUGGAAUUCCAGGUGUAGCGGUGAAAUGCGUAGAUAUCUGGAGGAACACCGGUGGCGAAGGCGACAUCCUGGACCGGUAUUGACGCUGAGGCGCGAAAGCCAGGGGAGCAAACGGG
This 253-nucleotide ribosomal RNA is filed under the name uncultured bacterium. RNAcentral describes it as "partial 16S ribosomal RNA". It matches the Rfam family "Bacterial small subunit ribosomal RNA", at positions 524 to 776 of the family's 1533-position model. The record is from RNAcentral.